Molecule: ribosomal RNA, 891 nt
Filed under: uncultured bacterium
Lineage: Bacteria
Description: bacterial SSU rRNA
Rfam family: Bacterial small subunit ribosomal RNA
Source: RNAcentral
CACAUGCAGUCGAACGAAGCAAUCUUGAAACCUAGUGAUGGAUUGACUGAGUGGCGGACGGGUGAGUAACGCGUGGGUAACCUGCCUCAUACAGGGGGACAACAGUUAGAAAUGACUGCUAAUACCGCAUAACCCGCUAGGGCCGCAUGGCCCGGACGGAAAAGGAGUAAUCCGGUAUGAGAUGGACCCGCGUCUGAUUAGCUGGUUGGUGGGGUAACGGCCUACCAAGGCAACGAUCAGUAGCCGAACUGAGAGGUUGACCGGCCACAUUGGGACUGAGACACGGCCCAAACUCCUACGGGAGGCAGCAGUGGGGAAUAUUGCACAAUGGGGGAAACCCUGAUGCAGCGACGCCGCGUGAGUGAAGAAGUAUUUCGGUAUGUAAAGCUCUAUCAGCAGGGAAGAAAAUGACGGUACCUGACUAAGAAGCCCCGGCUAACUACGUGCCAGCAGCCGCGGUAAUACGUAGGGGGCAAGCGUUAUCCGGAUUUACUGGGUGUAAAGGGAGCGUAGGUGGUAUGGCAAGUCAGAGGUGAAAACCCAGGGCUUAACCUUGGGAUUGCCUUUGAAACUGUCAGACUAGAGUGCAGGAGGGGUAAGUGGAAUUCCUAGUGUAGCGGUGAAAUGCGUAGAUAUUAGGAGGAACACCAGUGGCGAAGGCGGCUUACUGGACUGUAACUGACACUGAGGCUCGAAAGCGUGGGGAGCAAACAGGAUUAGAUACCCUGGUAGUCCACGCCGUAACGAUGAAUACUAGGUGUUGGGGGAGCGAAGCUCCUCGGUGCCGCAUUUAACGCAAUAAGUAUUCCACCUGGGGAGUACGUUCGCAAGAAUGAAACUCAAGGAAUUGACGGGGACCCGCACAAGCGGUGGAGCAUGUGGUUUAAUUCG